Molecule: ribosomal RNA, 253 nt
Filed under: uncultured bacterium
Lineage: Bacteria
Description: partial 16S ribosomal RNA
Rfam family: Bacterial small subunit ribosomal RNA
Source: RNAcentral
UACGAAGGGGGCUAGCGUUGCUCGGAAUCACUGGGCGUAAAGCGCACGUAGGCGGCUUGUUAAGUCAGGGGUGAAAUCCUGGAGCUCAACUCCAGAACUGCCUUUGAUACUGGGAGACUUGAGUCCGGGAGAGGUGAGUGGAACUGCGAGUGUAGAGGUGAAAUUCGUAGAUAUUCGCAAGAACACCAGUGGCGAAGGCGGCUCACUGGCCCGGUACUGACGCUGAGGUGCGAAAGCGUGGGGAGCAAACAGG